RNAcentral lists this transfer RNA (65 nucleotides) under Gebiacantha plantae. RNAcentral's name for it is "tRNA-Ala". The record is from RNAcentral. Lineage: Eukaryota; Metazoa; Arthropoda; Malacostraca; Decapoda; Upogebiidae.
AAAGUUAUAGUCUAAUUUAUGAUUUAUGAUUUGCACUCAUAAGAUGUUUAUAUAAACUAACUUUG